This 292-nucleotide ribosomal RNA is filed under the name uncultured bacterium. Its description in RNAcentral is "partial 16S ribosomal RNA". It matches the Rfam family "Bacterial small subunit ribosomal RNA", at positions 505 to 796 of the family's 1533-position model. The record is from RNAcentral.
GUGCCAGCAGCCGCGGUAAGACGGAGGGGGCAAGCGUUGUCCGGACUCACUGGGCGUAAAGGGUGCGUAGGCGGUUUGGUGCGUCGGCGCUGAAAUCCGUGGGCUUAACCCACGGGCGCGUGCCGAUACGACUUGACUUGAGGCUCGGAGAGGGUGGGAGAACUCCUGGUGUAGUGGUGAAAUGCGUAGAGAUCAGGAAGAAUACCUGUGGCGCAAGCGCCCACCUGGCCGAGACCUGACGCUGAGGCACGAAAGCGUGGGGAGCGAACCGGAUUAGAUACCCCUGUAGUCC